Molecule: long non-coding RNA, 202 nt
Filed under: Capsicum annuum
Lineage: Eukaryota; Viridiplantae; Streptophyta; Magnoliopsida; Solanales; Solanaceae
Description: long non-coding RNA (CANN_LNC006135)
Source: RNAcentral
AUAAUUCUAAUACCUAAGUGCUUUUGUACAGUAAACUCACACGUGGUUGUUGAUUUCGUUCUCCUUUUUAUGAAUCCGUGCCACAAUCGCUGGUGUCUGUGGACUUAACAACUUUACUCCUCUUGAGUCCGCAGAACACCAGUGGCACGAAUUACAUCUCAGAGCUCUUCUUUUCUUAUUUUGCGAUGGAAAUACUGCAAUA